RNAcentral lists this ribosomal RNA (467 nucleotides) under uncultured bacterium. RNAcentral's name for it is "bacterial SSU rRNA". It matches the Rfam family "Bacterial small subunit ribosomal RNA", at positions 29 to 506 of the family's 1533-position model. The record is from RNAcentral.
ACGAACGCUGGCGGCGUGGCUAAGGCAUGCAAGUCGAACGGACUUUUCCAACGGGUAACUGGAGGAUUAGUCAGUGGCGAACGGGUGAGGAAUUCAUGGAUGACGUGCCCCGGACUCAGGGAUAGCGUUGUGAAAAUAACGGUAAUACCUGAUGACCCCGUAGGACCGCAUGGUCCCGCGGGCAAAGCUCCGACGGUCCGGGAGCGAUUCAUGUCCUAUCAGCUAGUUGGUGAGGUAACGGCCCACCAAGGCAACGACGGGUAUCGGGCGUGAGAGCGUGACCCGACACAUCGGAACUGAGAUACGGUCCGGACACCUACGGGUGGCUGCAGCAACGAAUAUUCCGCAAUGGACGAAAGUCUGACGGAGCGACGCCGCGUGCAGGAAGAAGUCCCUCGGGAUGUAAACUGCUGUCAGGGGUGAGGAACUCAAUGACCAACCCCAGAGGAAGCCACGGCUAACUCCGU